GACGAACGCUGGCGGCGUGCUUAACACAUGCAAGUCGAACGGAAAGGCCCUGCUUGCAGGGUACUCGAGUGGCGAACGGGUGAGUAACACGUGGGUGAUCUGCCCUGCACUUCGGGAUAAGCCUGGGAAACUGGGUCUAAUACCGGAUAGGAGCCAUUUUUAGUUUGAUGGUUGGAAAGUUUUUUCGGUGUAGGAUGAGCUCGCGGCCUAUCAGCUUGUUGGUGGGGUAAUGGCCUACCAAGGCGGCGACGGGUAGCCGGCCUGAGAGGGUGGACGGCCACAUUGGGACUGAGAUACGGCCCAGACUCCUACGGGAGGCAGCAGGGGGGAAUAUUGCACAAUGGGCGCAAGCCUGAUGCAGCGACGCCGCGUGGGGGAUGACGGCCUUCGGGUUGUAAACUCCUUUCGCUAGGGACGAAGCUUUUUGUGACGGUACCUAGAGAAGAAGCACCGGCUAACUACGUG
RNAcentral lists this ribosomal RNA (465 nucleotides) under uncultured bacterium. RNAcentral's name for it is "partial 16S ribosomal RNA". It matches the Rfam family "Bacterial small subunit ribosomal RNA", at positions 28 to 507 of the family's 1533-position model. The record is from RNAcentral.